UUUCUACUUGGAUGGGUUCCAUAUCAAUCAAAGAUAAUCAAUCCUUUGCAAGGUGCCAAACCAUAUUAUAAUUAGGUGUUUGAAAGCUAAAAGGAAUCUUAAAGAUUCUCUCAACAUCCAGUGAUAAAAACCCUAACACUGAAAUAAGUGUUAGCAUCAGCUUGUUUCAGCAGCUCAGUGUUCCAAAACAGUGUUUUAUCAUCAGGAGCUUCUACAGCAUUUUAACACAACAUGUGACAUGGGGUUAUUAUUUUGGAAGUGGAUGGAGUGGGAGUCCAUUUGUUAUUACAAAAGUUAAUAUUCCUCAUCUCCAACAGCCCAUGCCAUGCCUUGCCUCAAUAAAUCCCUUGCUAAAAACAUACUUCCACCUGUAGCUUGGAUUGAACCCAACAUUAGCAGUAAGGGAAUCUUCACCAGGGGAAUAACUUUAUGGUUAUUUAAAGGUUUUUUAAGUUUCCGUUACCAUUACACCCAUUAUUAAAAGGCAACAGAAAAAAUGCAUCUGUAACGGCCAUAAAGGCCUUUAUGUAACGGUAGUGAUCGUUAUUUAACGUUAAGUAACAGUAACGGUCCGUUACCUCACUAUUUUUUGGGUCCAAAUAAGGGCAAUAGCUCUUCCUCAUAUUUUGUUUUUGCUUUGGGGAGUUUUAAGUUGCUAUGUCUCACUCUCUCUCAACUUUCCAUAUAAAAUUUUCUAUGUUUCUAUAAAUCUUUUACUUCUUAUCUCUUGAGCUAAGAUUAUAAACUACCUUCUUAGUUCUACACAUCCAUAUCUUGC
This 778-nucleotide unclassified non-coding RNA is filed under the name Hevea brasiliensis (rubber tree). Lineage: Eukaryota; Viridiplantae; Streptophyta; Magnoliopsida; Malpighiales; Euphorbiaceae. The record is from RNAcentral.